AUGAACGCUAGCGGCAGGCCUAAUACAUGCAAGUCGAACGGGUGGUCGCAAGACCACUAGUGGCGCACGGGUGCGUAACGCGUAACCAACCUGCCCCGAUCUGGGGGAUAGCCCGCCGAAAGGCGGAUUAAUACCGCAUAUACCCGCAGCCUGGCAUCAGGCAACGGGGAAAGAUUUAUUGGAUCGGGAUGGGGUUGCGUGACAUUAGCUAGUUGGCGGGGUAAGGGCCCACCAAGGCGACGAUGUCUAGGGGACCUGAGAGGGUGAUCCCCCACACUGGCACUGAGAUACGGGCCAGACUCCUACGGGAGGCAGCAGUAGGGAAUAUUGGGCAAUGGGCGAGAGCCUGACCCAGCCAUGCCGCGUGCCGGAUGAAGGCCUUCUGGGUUGUAAACGGCUUUUCUCAGGGAAGAAAAAGACCUUGCGAGGUACACUGACGGUACCUGAGGAAUAAGCACCGGCUAACUCCGUG
This 472-nucleotide ribosomal RNA is filed under the name uncultured bacterium. Its description in RNAcentral is "partial 16S ribosomal RNA". It matches the Rfam family "Bacterial small subunit ribosomal RNA", at positions 29 to 507 of the family's 1533-position model. The record is from RNAcentral.